CCUACGGGGGGCUGCAGUGGGGAAUAUUGGACAAUGGGCGAAAGCCUGAUCCAGCCAUGCCGCGUGUGUGAAGAAGGCCUUCGGGUUGUAAAGCACUUUCAGUGGGGAAGAAAGCCUUGGGGCUAAUACCCUCGAGGAAGGACAUCACCCACAGAAGAAGCACCGGCUAACUCCGUGCCAGCAGCCGCGGUAAUACGGAGGGUGCGAGCGUUAAUCGGAAUUACUGGGCGUAAAGCGCGCGUAGGCGGUCUGAUAAGCCGGUUUUGAAAGCCCCGGGCUCAACCUGGGAACGGCAUCCGGAACUGUCAGGCUAGAGUGCAGGAGAGGAAGGUAGAAUUCCCGGUGUAGCGGUGAAAUGCGUAGAGAUCGGGAGGAAUACCAGUGGCGAAGGCGGCCUUCUGGACUGACACUGACGCUGAGGUGCGAAAGCGUGGGUAGCAAACAGGAUUAGAUACCCGGGUAGUC
Molecule: ribosomal RNA, 465 nt
Filed under: Vreelandella stevensii
Lineage: Bacteria; Pseudomonadati; Pseudomonadota; Gammaproteobacteria; Oceanospirillales; Halomonadaceae
Description: partial 16S ribosomal RNA
Rfam family: Bacterial small subunit ribosomal RNA
Source: RNAcentral